Molecule: ribosomal RNA, 253 nt
Filed under: uncultured bacterium
Lineage: Bacteria
Description: partial 16S ribosomal RNA
Rfam family: Bacterial small subunit ribosomal RNA
Source: RNAcentral
UACGUAGGUGGCAAGCGUUGUCCGGAGUUAUUGGGCGUAAAGCGCGCGCAGGCGGUUCGGCAAGUCCAUGGUGGAAGCGCCCGGCUCAACUGGGCGAGUGCCGUGGGGACUGCCGAGCUGGAGGGGAGCAGAGGCGAGUGGAAUUCCGGGUGUAGUGGUGAAAUGCGUAGAGAUCCGGAGGAACACCAGUGGCGAAGGCGGCUCGCUGGGCUCUAACUGACGCUGAUGCACGAAAGCUAGGGGAGCAAACAGG